GAGUUUGAUCAUGGCUCAGGAUGAACGCUAGCUACAGGCUUAACACAUGCAAGUCGAGGGGCAUCAGUUUGGUUUGCUUGCAAACCAAAGCUGGCGACCGGCGCACGGGUGAGUAACACGUAUCCAACCUGCCGAUAACUCGGGGAUAGCCUUUCGAAAGAAAGAUUAAUACCCGAUGGUAUAAUCAGACCGCAUGGUCUUGUUAUUAAAGAAUUUCGGUUAUCGAUGGGGAUGCGUUCCAUUAGGCAGUUGGUGAGGUAACGGCUCACCAAACCUUCGAUGGAUAGGGGUUCUGAGAGGAAGGUCCCCCCAAUUGGAACUGGGACACGGUCCAAACUCCUACGGGAGCAGCAGUGA
RNAcentral lists this ribosomal RNA (357 nucleotides) under uncultured bacterium. Its description in RNAcentral is "bacterial SSU rRNA". It matches the Rfam family "Bacterial small subunit ribosomal RNA", at positions 9 to 357 of the family's 1533-position model. The record is from RNAcentral.